Non-coding RNA from Trichomycterus rosablanca, 1123 nucleotides. Lineage: Eukaryota; Metazoa; Chordata; Actinopteri; Siluriformes; Trichomycteridae. The record is from the annotation of a RefSeq genome assembly.
CAAUGAGUUUGGUUCCUCCACCAAAAGUGUAGCACAGUGAUACAUUCCAAUGAAGCCGUCGUACAAAAACCUCUGUUCCACUCCAGUGAUUCCACACACACACACACACACACACACACACACACACACACACACACUCACACACACACACACACACACACACACACACACACACACACUCACACACACACACACACACACACACACACACACACACACACUAUAAGAGCUGUAGUUCUGAUCAGACUGGGUUCAGGACUUUCAGACUCACUGAGACGCAGCACAAUGAUGAAGGUUCUGAUUCUACUGCUGAAUACACUCGGCCUCCUCACUCAACAGUCGUUUGGAGAAAUCAUCAUGACUCAGACUCCAGGAUCUCACUCGGUUUCUCCAGGACAAACUGUUACCAUCAACUGCAGAGCCAGUCAGAGCGUUAGCAGCAGCUACCUACACUGGUACCAGCAGAAACCUGGAGAAGCUCCUAAACUUCUGAUCUAUAGUGCAACUACUCGUCAGUCUGGGAUUCCUGGACGUUUUACUGGAAGUGGAUCUGGUACAGAAUUUACUCUGAAAAUCACUGGAGUCCAGGCUGAAGAUGCAGGAGAUUAUUACUGUCAGCAGUAUCAAAGCUCUCCCUACACUUUUGGUGGAGGAACCAAACUCAUUGUAAAAACCGGUCCCACGGUGAAGCCGUCCGUGUCUCUGCUCCCUCCAUCCUCUCUGCAGCUGUCUGAGGGAUCGGCCUCGCUGCUCUGCCUGCUGUCUGGUUACUCUCCACAGGGGGCGCUGGUGAGCUGGACGGUGGACGGCAGAGUGCUGGAGGACGGGGUGGUGACCGGGGCAGAAGAACAGAAAGGGGGCAGUUGGAGGCGUGGCAGCACCCUGACCCUCAGCAAAGCACAGUGGGAAAAGGGGGAGGAGUUUGGCUGUAAGGUCUCUCACGGUGGCGUCGAUCAUCCCGUCGUAUUCAGAAAGAACCAGUGUGAAGGCUAGCAGCUCCCAGAUAGAACUGAACAUGGAGACACUUCCACAUGCUUCUACAAUGGAGUUUCAGUUCUACACAAUGCUGCAUUUCUGUCUUUCCUCUGUUCAGUGUCCUGUUGCUCUUCCUGUAGUUUUGCUG